CAGGGCUCAGGAAGCAGCUAAAGAGAUGAGGCAGGCGCUUUGAAUUCUUGGACAAGAACCACAGCAAUGCUGGGUCAACAGCACUUUAAAACAAUCUGUCUUUUUAAAGCAAAGCUAUGAACUUUAAAAUCAGAACAUGCAAUUGAGAGACAAAGGCGACUAUGUCUCUCAUUUAGGGCAUUUGUUCCAUUUACAGCUAAGCCAUGGUGCCCUCUGCCAGCCUUUGGAUGGCCUUGACCUUCACAGACUUGGAAGGGGUUCUCUUCAUCCCUACCCUGCCCUGCCCCUCCCCAACCUUAGUUUCCCUUAG
This 310-nucleotide long non-coding RNA is filed under the name Chinchilla lanigera (long-tailed chinchilla). RNAcentral describes it as "lncRNA (ENSCLAG00000027300.1)". The record is from RNAcentral. Lineage: Eukaryota; Metazoa; Chordata; Mammalia; Rodentia; Chinchillidae.